UGUUUCUUGAACCGAAUUCCUCAUUAAGAGAGCAGACCUUCAGUCAGUUUUCAAGACUUCAGGAUGAACUAGCAGAUAGAUCUUCAUUGAAAGCAAACAAAUCCCUUUUCGACUUUGAUCUUUGACUUUCAAAACCGAGCACCAGCCGCAGAUCGAAAAACGCCUUCGGAGUUGGCCUUCCAGACCCUUGCUGCUGGGAGUGGGGCGUGGGAUCUCAGCAGCUGUGUUGACAAACAUGGCCCAACAAGACGGCCACCAUCACAGGAUGAAUCUGAAGGACUUAAUUGCCUAGCUCUGCAGUUUCCUCUGAAACCUCUUUUCCGUUUGUGGAUGGACUUGAACUCGACAGACCAUGGAGCGUCAUUGAGCAUGCCCACUUUCAUAGCAGUCUGAGCUUCAUAGGCCUUGAGCUUAUAGCAUCCCUUUAUGGUGGACAUGGCGGAAAGUGUUGGACAUGCCAUUUCAGACUGAGCUCUGACCUCCAGACUGACGGCUGUGGUCUUCAUCACAUUCCAGCAGGAGAUGUGGGCUCACAUCAGGCUGUCACACUGAACCCUCUGUGCUUAGAGCUUUAUAUCCAGGAGCAUGACAGCAAGGACUGUAUUGUCAUUUUGCUCCAUACUCCUGCACUGAGAACAAGAAUCUCAAGAAGUGAUGAAGUCUGUGACCCAGCAAUUCCACUCCUAGGGGCACUUGGGAGAGAACCAAGAACAUAUAUAUAUAUAAACGUGAUAGCGGCACUAUUCAUGACAGCCAAAAAGGGGAAACAAUCCAAAUGUUCAUCAGCUGAUGGCUGGAUGAACAAAUGUGGUAUGUCCGUACACUGGAAUAUUAUUAAGCUCAAAAGGAAAUAAAGUAAUGAUACAUGGCAUAAGAUGGAUGAACCUUGGAAACAUUAUGCUAAGUGGAAAAAGCCACAUACAAAAGGCCAUAUACAAUGCGAUUCCAUUCUGAUGAAAUAUAUAAAAUAAACAAACCCAUAGAGAAUGAAAGUAGAUUUGUGGUUGCAGGAGGCUAGGGGCUGGAAUAAUGGGGCAUGUGUGUGUGCAUGAAUUUGCUUCUGUCAUGUCUGACUCUUUGCAACUCUCUGGACCAUAGUCCACCAGGCUCCUCUGUCCAUGGGAUUCUCUAGGCAAGAAUACCAGAGAGGGUUGCCAUUUUCUCUUCCAGGGCAUCUUUCCCACCCAGGGAUCAAACUUGUGUCUCUUGUGUCUCCUUCAUUGUCAAGUGCGUUCUUUACUACUAGUGCCACCUGGGAAGCCCAGAAUAAUGGGGAGUGACUGCUAAUGGGUAUGGGAUUUCUUUUUUGGGUGAUCAAAAUGUUCUGGAAUUAGAUAGUUGUGAUGGUUACCCAACAUUGUGAAUAUACUAAAAUGCACUGAAUUAUGCACUUCAAAAUGGUGACUUUUAUCUCAAUAAAAAAUGC
Molecule: long non-coding RNA, 1426 nt
Filed under: Capra hircus (goat)
Lineage: Eukaryota; Metazoa; Chordata; Mammalia; Artiodactyla; Bovidae
Description: lncRNA (ENSCHIG00000003674.1)
Source: RNAcentral